Molecule: ribosomal RNA, 103 nt
Filed under: uncultured bacterium
Lineage: Bacteria
Description: partial 16S ribosomal RNA
Rfam family: Bacterial small subunit ribosomal RNA
Source: RNAcentral
CACACUGCCCGUCACACCACGAAAGUUGAUUCCUCCAGAAGCCGGUACACUAAUCCGUUUCGGCGGAAGGGAACUGUCCAAGGAGGGAUCGAUGAUUGGGGUG